RNAcentral lists this ribosomal RNA (372 nucleotides) under uncultured bacterium. RNAcentral describes it as "bacterial SSU rRNA". It matches the Rfam family "Bacterial small subunit ribosomal RNA", at positions 29 to 426 of the family's 1533-position model. The record is from RNAcentral.
AGCGAACGCUGGCGGCAGGCUUAACACAUGCAAGUCGAGCGGGCGUAGCAAUACGUCAGCGGCAGACGGGUGAGUAACGCGUGGGAACAUACCUUUUGGUUCGGAACAACACAGGGGAAACUUGUGCUAAUACCGGAUAAAGCCCUUACGGGGAAAGAUUUAUCGCCGAAAGAUUGGCCCGCGUCUGAUUAGCUAGUUGGUGAGGUAACGGCUCACCAAGGCGACGAUCAGUAGCGGUCUGAGAGGAUGAUCAGCCACAUUGGGACUGAGACACGGCCCAAACUCCUACGGGAGGCAGCAGUGGGGAAUAUUGGACAAUGGGCGCAAGCCUGAUCCAGCCAUGCCGCGUGAGUGAUGAAGGCCCUAGGGUGU